CCUACGGGUGGCAGCAGUGAGGAAUAUUGGUCAAUGGGCGUAAGCCUGAACCAGCCAAGUCGCGUGAGGGAUGAAGGUUCUAUGGAUCGUAAACCUCUUUUAUAAGGGAAUAAAGUGCGGGACGUGUCCCGUUUUGUAUGUACCUUAUGAAUAAGGAUCGGCUAACUCCGUGCCAGCAGCCGCGGUAAUACGGGGGAUCCGAGCGUUAUCCGGAUUUAUUGGGUGUAAGGGGUGCGUAGGCGGGCAUUUAAGCCGGAGGUCACAUGUCGGGGCUCAACCCCGGCCUGCCGUCGGAACUGGGGGCCUUGAGUGGGCGAGAAGUAGGCGGAAUGCGUGGUGUAGCGGUGAAAUGCAUAGAUAUCACGCAGAACCCCGAUUGCGAAGGCAGCAUACCGGCGCCCGACUGACGCUGAGGCACGAAAGUGCGGGUAUCGAACAGGAUUAGAUACCCCUGUAGUC
RNAcentral lists this ribosomal RNA (459 nucleotides) under uncultured bacterium. RNAcentral describes it as "partial 16S ribosomal RNA". It matches the Rfam family "Bacterial small subunit ribosomal RNA", at positions 338 to 795 of the family's 1533-position model. The record is from RNAcentral.